GACGAACGCUGGCGGCGUGCUUAACACAUGCAAGUCGAACGGAAAGGCCCUGCUUUUGUGGGGUGCUCGAGUGGCGAACGGGUGAGUAACACGUGAGUAACCUGCCCUUGACUUUGGGAUAACUUCAGGAAACUGGGGCUAAUACCGGAUAGGAGCUCCUGCUGCAUGGUGGGGGUUGGAAAGUUUCGGCGGUUGGGGAUGGACUCGCGGCCUAUCAGCUUGUUGGUGGGGUAGUGGCUUACCAAGGCUUUGACGGGUAGCCGGCCUGAGAGGGUGACCGGCCACAUUGGGACUGGGAGACGGACCGGACUCCUACGGGAGGCAGCAGUGGGGAAUAUUGCGCUAUGGGCGGAAGCCUGAUGCAGCAACGCCGCGUGCGGGAUGACGGCCUUCGGGUUGUAGACCGCUUUCGCCUGUGACGAAGCGUGAGUGACGGUAAUGGGUAAAGAAGCACCGGCUAACUACGUG
Molecule: ribosomal RNA, 468 nt
Filed under: uncultured bacterium
Lineage: Bacteria
Description: partial 16S ribosomal RNA
Rfam family: Bacterial small subunit ribosomal RNA
Source: RNAcentral